RNAcentral lists this long non-coding RNA (201 nucleotides) under Lathyrus oleraceus (garden pea). RNAcentral's name for it is "Pisum sativum (pea) long non-coding RNA (PSAT_LNC036538)". The record is from RNAcentral. Lineage: Eukaryota; Viridiplantae; Streptophyta; Magnoliopsida; Fabales; Fabaceae.
UUGAAGAACAACUCAAGUAAACCCUAAAUUUCUAGAUCCGGAAAUUAAAUGAUGCGGCGAGGGAAUUGAAACCUACAUGGGUAGGGAUUUAAAUCUGAAGCUUGAAACUUCACUUAGAUGGUGAUUUAGGAGAAAACCAAACAAGAACUGGAGGGUUGCUUACCUGCCGGAGUAGCUCCGACGGCUCUUCAGAUGUGGCGU